Molecule: unclassified non-coding RNA, 290 nt
Filed under: uncultured Lecanoromycetes
Lineage: Eukaryota; Fungi; Ascomycota; Lecanoromycetes
Description: sequence contains ITS1
Rfam family: 5.8S ribosomal RNA (bases 1-105)
Source: RNAcentral
GAAAUGCGAUAAGUAAUGUGAAUUGCAGAAUUCAGUGAAUCAUCGAAUCUUUGAACGCAUAUUGCGCCCUUUGGCAUUCCGAAGGGCAUGCCUGUUCGAGCGUCAUUUCACCCCUCAAACCUCACCGUUUGACGUUGGGCCUUGCCGGUGUCGGCAUGCCUAAAAACCAGCGACGGUUCCAGCCAACCUCAAGCGUGCAAGUAUCGUUAUGGGCGAAGGUUGGGGCCUGUCUUAACUAUUACAUUCCAAAUGUUGACCUCGGAUCAGGUAGGGAUACCCGCUGAACUUAA